UUUACCCGCUGAAAUUUAAGCAUAUCACUAAGGGGGAAGAACCAAAAGGCGAUCCCCUGGUUUUAGCGAUGCCGCGUAAUGGGAGAAUAACGGUACCGUCUUAAGUCAGGUUCUUAAAUGUAUCUUGAGGGGUGUAUAGACAACGCUAUUUAUUUCUUUUUGUUUUUUGUCUAACCAUGGAAGGUGGUAGCCCUGUAAAGAUGUGACUUUCGACGUACCCGUUCUCCUAAAGAGUAAGGUUGCUUGUAAUUACAACCCGAAGUAGGUGGUACAUUCCAUCUAAGGCUAAAUACCCUUACGAGACCGAUAGCGAACAAGACCGAGAGGGAAAGUUGAAAAGUACUCCUGGAAGAGAA
Molecule: ribosomal RNA, 356 nt
Filed under: Cymothoa frontalis
Lineage: Eukaryota; Metazoa; Arthropoda; Malacostraca; Isopoda; Cymothoidae
Description: partial large subunit ribosomal RNA
Rfam family: Eukaryotic large subunit ribosomal RNA
Source: RNAcentral